CACACGGUACACUGACAAUGUAAUAGUUGGCAUAUCGGAUUUCUGAAACUAUCUAUGUACCGAUACUGAACACUAUCUACAAUUUUUGGUGUAAAUUUGACUUUUGUGAGAAAUUAUUUUCAAUGAACAUCGUGCUGAUUUGAAAGAUAUUAACCAAAAGGUUACUAUUUUUUAAUAUUAUUAAUCCUUUCUACGAAGGUGUCAAAUUUAGUGUUCAUUGAAAAUCUGAAUGCGGAAGUUCUAUAACGACUAAUAGAAUGGAAUAGAUUUCAACAAAGACAUAAAUAAUUUAAAUGGUUGUUCUCGUACGUGUAGUUCAGACUUCAUUAACGUUAUAGCAUGGGCUGAUGAGAACAGGGAUAAAUACAGAUUAGUGUGUUCAACCGAGUAACAUGGCUUCAAUUUCAAAAGGAGUUGAAGAUUUGUCCCAACUUGAGAGACUUGAUGAAGACAGCAUUCAAAAUGUUCUGAGAGACAGAUAUGCUAAAGAUGAAAUAUAUGUAAG
This 505-nucleotide long non-coding RNA is filed under the name Mytilus galloprovincialis (Mediterranean mussel). The record is from RNAcentral. Lineage: Eukaryota; Metazoa; Mollusca; Bivalvia; Mytilida; Mytilidae.